AGCGAACCGCUGGCGGCAGGCCUAACACAUGCAAGUCGAGCGCUCAUCUUCGGAUGGGAGCGGCGCACUGGGUGAGUAACACGUGGGAACCUACCUUGAAGUAUGGAAUAACUGAGGGAAACUUCAGCUCAAUACCGUAUACGCCCUACGGGGGAAAGAUUUAUCGCUUCAAGACGGGCCCGCGUUGGAUUUAGCUAGUUGGUGAGGUAAUGGCUCACCAAGGCGACGAUCCAUAGCUGAUUUGAGAGAAUCGAUCAGCCACACUGGGACUGAGACACGGCCCAGACUCCUACGGGAGGCAGCAGUGGGGAAAUAUUGGACAAUGGGCGCAAGCCUGAUCCAGCCAUGCCGCGUGAGUGAUGAAGGCCUUCGGCGUUGUAAAGCUCUUUCAGAUGGGACGAUGAUGACGGUACCAUCAGAAGAAGCCCCGGCUAAACUUCGUGCCAGCAGCCGCGGUAAUACGAAGGGGGCUAGCGUUGUUCGGAAUUACUGGGCUGUAAAGCGCGCGUAGGCGGCUUUGUCAGUCAGGGGUGAAAUCCCGGGGCUUAACCUCGGACACUGCCUUUGAUACUGCAAGGCUUGAGUCUGUGAGAGGAUGGUGGAAUACCCAGUGUAGACGGUGAAAUUCGU
This 630-nucleotide ribosomal RNA is filed under the name uncultured Alphaproteobacteria bacterium. Its description in RNAcentral is "bacterial SSU rRNA". It matches the Rfam family "Bacterial small subunit ribosomal RNA", at positions 28 to 691 of the family's 1533-position model. Lineage: Bacteria; Pseudomonadati; Pseudomonadota; Alphaproteobacteria. The record is from RNAcentral.